GGGAAGAACCUGCUUGUGUCUCCCGAAGCUCCCCUCGGAAACCCGCAGAUAGCGGGGCAGUUGAUGGAUGCUUGGAAGCUGGCGUGCUUUUUCGGAAAUGUUUUGCCACCUGAGGCCUUGGAGGAGGUUCUGCCUGAGGAAGGUCCUCCCUCCUUGGCUUCACUACUCUCGAGCUUUAUCAGGGGCAGAAGCCAUCAAUGCCUUGAGGCCUUUCUACUUUGCAGUUCAUCCUGAUUUCUUUGGACAGCACCCCAGGGAAAGGGAAGUCAAUGAAAAUUCUCUUAAGAGAUUAAGUGUCUAUUUAGAAAAUCUCCAGAAACCAGGCUUCAAGUCUCUGAAACCAACUCAGCUUACAUUUUAUAUAAGAGAAAAAACAGCGCAGAAUUCCUCUGAAGGACAGGAGCCUGUCAGUACUACCGUUUGCCUGUUGAACACGUCCAAAGCUUGAACACUAAUGUGCAUUCCCAGCCUCUCAAGGAAGCUACAGGGAUGCCUGACAGACCCAUCAAAUGGCAUAGGUCCUAUUAUUCCUUUACUGGGUUCAAGGACCCUGACGAAGACCUUGAACAUGUCUCAAGAGUGGAAACAACCCUCACGUCCUGGUUAGGUAGCAAUGGCAAAGGUGCUGUUAAAAAGCUGAAGAACAGUCUGCCACUUAGGA
Molecule: long non-coding RNA, 661 nt
Filed under: Rattus norvegicus (Norway rat)
Lineage: Eukaryota; Metazoa; Chordata; Mammalia; Rodentia; Muridae
Description: long non-coding RNA NONRATT028213
Source: RNAcentral